UGCAAGUCGAACGGAAAGGCCCGCUUGCGGGUACUCGAGUGGCGAACGGGUGAGUAACACGUGGGUGAUCUGCCCUGGACUCUGGGAUAAGCCUGGGAAACUGGGUCUAAUACCGGAUAUGACCUUACAUCGCAUGGUGUUUGGUGGAAAGCUUUUGCGGUUCAGGAUGGGCCCGCGGCCUAUCAGCUUGUUGGUGGGGUAAUGGCCUACCAAGGCGACGACGGGUAGCCGACCUGAGAGGGUGAUCGGCCACACUGGGACUGAGACACGGCCCAGACUCCUACGGGAGGCAGCAGUGGGGAAUAUUGCACAAUGGGCGCAAGCCUGAUGCAGCGACGCCGCGUGAGGGAUGACGGCCUUCGGGUUGUAAACCUCUUUCACCAGGGACGAAGCGCAAGUGACGGUACCUGGAGAAGAAGCACCGGCCAACUACGUGCCAGCAGCCGCGGUAAUACGUAGGGUGCGAGCGUUGUCCGGAAUUACUGGGCGUAAAGAGCUCGUAGGCGGUUUGUCGCGUCGUCUGUGAAAUUCUGCAACUCAAUUGUAGGCGUGCAGGCGAUACGGGCAGACUUGAGUACUACAGGGGAGACUGGAAUUCCUGGUGUAGCGGUGAAAUGCGCAGAUAUCAGGAGGAACACCGGUGGCGAAGGCGGGUCUCUGGGUAGUAACUGACGCUGAGGAGCGAAAGCGUGGGUAGCGAACAGGAUUAGAUACCCUGGUAGUCCACGCCGUAAACGGUGGGUACUAGGUGUGGGGCUCAUUUCACGAGUUCCGUGCCGUAGCUAACGCAUUAAGUACCCCGCCUGGGGAGUACGGCGCAAGGCUAAAACUCAAAGGAAUUGACGGG
Molecule: ribosomal RNA, 847 nt
Filed under: Gordonia amicalis
Lineage: Bacteria; Bacillati; Actinomycetota; Actinomycetes; Mycobacteriales; Gordoniaceae
Description: bacterial SSU rRNA
Rfam family: Bacterial small subunit ribosomal RNA
Source: RNAcentral